CUAAGUCCACUUUGGAACAUGCAAAGGCGGCCUUCUUUCCGAUGGAAUGCAAAACGUUAAGCCAAAUCCUUUUGUGGUCUCCAGCUCAGAGAAGACGGAUGCAUCUACACCACCAUAACGACAGAGCUGCUGCCUGUAAGCGAGACCACAGAACUAGAUCGCCCCACCAGUGGAAAGGAGAAAUUCAUUGGGAAUAUGAAAAUGCUGGUGGUUAACUCUCAGGUGGAGAGAGAAUAGCCAGAGGCCUUUGUGGGAGUUCAGAGCUGCCAUGGUUACCUCCUGGGAGGCAGCGAGACGACUAGCAAGAAGGUGAGGAAAGGCCGGCCAGUUAUAAAAAGGGGAGAAGUUUAGCUUCAGGGAGGAAGGUGUGGCAGCCAGAUAGCCGGGAAUUUUAUACUAUCAGU
Molecule: long non-coding RNA, 404 nt
Filed under: Rattus norvegicus (Norway rat)
Lineage: Eukaryota; Metazoa; Chordata; Mammalia; Rodentia; Muridae
Description: long non-coding RNA NONRATT003263
Source: RNAcentral